Molecule: ribosomal RNA, 587 nt
Filed under: Ameerega trivittata (three-striped poison frog)
Lineage: Eukaryota; Metazoa; Chordata; Amphibia; Anura; Dendrobatidae
Description: partial large subunit ribosomal RNA
Rfam family: Bacterial large subunit ribosomal RNA
Source: RNAcentral
CGCCUGUUUAUCAAAAACAUCGCCUCUUGUUCAAUUAUAGGAGGUCCAGCCUGCCCAGUGACUCUGUUCAACGGCCGCGGUAUCCUAACCGUGCGAAGGUAGCGUAAUCACUUGUUCUUUAAAUGAGGACUAGUAUGAAUGGCCCCACGAGGGCUGCACUGUCUCCUUUUUCUAAUCAAUGAAACUAAUCUCCCCGUGAAGAAGCGGGAAUUAUCCUAUAAGACGAGAAGACCCUAUGGAGCUUUAAACAAUUGAAACAUUUGCUUUUCUCCUAACUCCUCCCGAGCUCUUUAUUUUUAUUUAAGCAUUAUUAUUUCUAGUUUUAGGUUGGGGUGACCACGGAGCAAAACUAAACCUCCAUGAAGAAAUGAAUAUUUUUAAGCCACAAACUACUUUUUUAAGCAUCAACAAAUUGACCUUCAUUGACCCAAUAUAUUGAUCAACGAACCAAGUUACCCUAGGGAUAACAGCGCAAUCUACUUCAAGAGCUCAUAUCGACAAGUAGGUUUACGACCUCGAUGUUGGAUCAGGGUAUCCUAGUGGUGCAGCCGCUACUAAUGGUUCGUUUGUUCAACGAUUAAAACCCU